RNAcentral lists this ribosomal RNA (257 nucleotides) under uncultured soil bacterium. RNAcentral describes it as "partial 16S ribosomal RNA". It matches the Rfam family "Bacterial small subunit ribosomal RNA", at positions 26 to 285 of the family's 1533-position model. The record is from RNAcentral.
AGAAUCAACGCUGGCGGCGCGCUUAACACAUGCAAGUCGAACGAGAAAGUGGAGCAAUCCAUGAGUAAAGUGGCGUACGGGUGAGUAACACGUGGGUAAUCUACCUUUUUGGUGGGGAAUAACCCUGGGAAACCGGGGCUAAUACCGCAUAAGCUCGCCAUUUAAGAUGGUGAGGAAAGGAGCAAUUCGCCGAAAGAGGAGCCCGCGGCUGAUUAGCUAGUUGGUAGGGUAAAAGCCUACCAAGGCUAUGAUCGGUA